CGGCCGGGGGACGGACUGG
This 19-nucleotide small nuclear RNA is filed under the name Arabidopsis thaliana (thale cress). RNAcentral describes it as "snRNA_07610". The record is from RNAcentral. Lineage: Eukaryota; Viridiplantae; Streptophyta; Magnoliopsida; Brassicales; Brassicaceae.